AAGAAGAAAAUGGAGCUUUUGAUCAAUAAAAAAUAAUUUCUUUGAAGCUAAAGCAUUUUCAGCUUUGAGCAAUAAAAUCAACAUUAACUAUUGAUUCAACUUUUGUCAAGAAAAUUCAAUCAAAUAUGCUCUCUAAUCCUCUUAUUUAUGAUAUAAAGAAUAUUUUUUUAAAUCUCAUAAUAUUUCUUAAUUUAAAUUUAAGAAUAAUUUAUUAUAUAUUGAGAAGUAAUCAUAUAUUCUAGAAAGAAAAGUGCAAUUAUGAGUUCUUCAAGUUCAUCAUGACUUUCCAACAACUGAACAUUUUGGAUACAAUAAGACUUUGGAGUUAAUAUCAAGAGAUUUUUAGCAGCUUCAAAUAUGGAAGGUGGUUAAAGACUUUGUAUAAUCAUGUAAAUUUUUUUCAAGAUUAAAAACUCCUUGUCAUCAACAUUACGGAC
This 437-nucleotide long non-coding RNA is filed under the name Physcomitrium patens. RNAcentral's name for it is "long non-coding RNA (PPAT_LNC008205)". Lineage: Eukaryota; Viridiplantae; Streptophyta; Bryopsida; Funariales; Funariaceae. The record is from RNAcentral.